CAGCCGUAAACUAUGCUCGCUAGGUGUCAGGCAUGGCGCGACCGUGUCUGGUGCCGCAGGGAAGCCGUGAAGCGAGCCACCUGGGAAGUACGGCCACAAGGCUGAAACUUAAAGGAAUUGGCGGGGGAGCACAACAACGGGUGGAGCCUGCGGUUUAAUGGACUCAACGCCGGACAACUCACCGGGGGACGACAGCAAUAUGUAGGCCAGGCUGAAGACCUUGCCUGAAUCGCUGAGAGGAGGUGCAUGGCGUAGACGUCU
RNAcentral lists this ribosomal RNA (261 nucleotides) under uncultured archaeon. RNAcentral's name for it is "partial 16S ribosomal RNA". It matches the Rfam family "Archaeal small subunit ribosomal RNA", at positions 748 to 1009 of the family's 1478-position model. The record is from RNAcentral.